UCUUACCAAUCUUAAAAGCCACCACUCCAGCAUAUAUUUGUCAUUUUCUUUUUGGGAGAUCUUACAGAUUGCUUAUCUAGAAAAAGAUAGAUCUUGCCAGUUCAUUUCUGGACACCUGUAUGCAGAAGCUGUGGGCAUGUGUGGAUCAGUCCUUGGAACAUUUUUUAUAUUCUGGCACGGACUGCGGAUUAACUUGGAUUUCCAGCUGAUUUAUUCAAUAUUCCGAGUCCAAUCAAAUCAUUUCUUUUUGCUAACAUGUAGUGCUUCGGGUCUAUAUCCUUCCAACAUAAAUUACACACACACACACAAACACAAUCAACUUGAUAUAAUCGGAUUCAUGAGCUUAGUUAGUAGCCCAUAUGAUCUCAGAAGUUACCUCCAAACCAAAGAAUCAUCUUCUCGGGUUAAUCAAUUAUCUAACCCCUCCUUCAACUCCAUCUCUCUCUGUAUAUAUACCCUUUCCUCUCUUCCUCCGUAUCUUCACAGCAAAUUCACACACACACAGUUUCUUGUGAUCCUGCUCGUUUUCAGUCUGUAUUUUUUUUUCUCAUUUUAACGUGCUCCAACAAUUGAAGUCUAAGUUAUGUAUAUGUCGAGAAUAUUGAAGAGCUGUGAUGCUGUUGUUGGUCAUCAGUUUGUGAGUUGCAUCUGCUUUUACCUUUCGUUCUUUAUCUUUUUUUUUGGGCCUUUGGUUUAACCACUAGUGGGUCUAUCCUAUUUAGCUCCACAAUGAUUAAUUCAGGUGGAUUUAUUAAUUUGCCUUAAUUACCGGGCCAUUCAUAUUCAUUCAUUUUCUUUACUCUUACUUCAUGGGUUGUUUCCUUCUAGGGUUAGGGUUGGUCCGUUCAUGCUCGUGAAAGAUCUGAUCAAGAUUGUCAGUCUAUAUUGGCCGAUGCGGCAGCAUCAAGAUUCACAAACUUUAAGGCAUGAGUUGGGGGUGGUACACGGUCACCUCCUUUACUCGAAAGGUUCCUUUCUGAUGGGAAUCUUGAUGAUGCUGCAUCGGCAAAUAUAUGACUAUUCUUCUUAAUUUACUGUUGCAUACCAAACAUGUACAACGAGUUCAGCAAUUUGAUCAAAGGUGGAGUGUAAGUUAAUUAUCUAACCAAAACCAUGAAGGUGGCUCGCCUUUGGUCUCCUCAUGCGCUUAAUGAACUUGUCUGAUUUAUCGGGGAAAAAGAAGAACAAUGACUACAAUUAUUGUCUAUUUUAGAGAUCAUUUAGCUCUUAUGGUUGUGGUGCUAAGUACAGAUGAGUGAGUUUUCAAUCUCCAGAGAUAUUACAACGAAGGAAGGGAAUAGGAAAAGCAAGUUAAGGAACGUACCGUGUAUAUGCUUAGUUUUGUUUUAUUUGUACUUGUUGAUGGAAAAUGUAAACCUAGAUUCAUUGCUAAAGAUCAAUGGUAACAUAGA
Molecule: long non-coding RNA, 1412 nt
Organism: Populus euphratica (Euphrates poplar)
Lineage: Eukaryota; Viridiplantae; Streptophyta; Magnoliopsida; Malpighiales; Salicaceae
Exons: 2
Source: RefSeq, a predicted model, not a curated record